This 601-nucleotide ribosomal RNA is filed under the name uncultured bacterium. Its description in RNAcentral is "bacterial SSU rRNA". It matches the Rfam family "Bacterial small subunit ribosomal RNA", at positions 732 to 1337 of the family's 1533-position model. The record is from RNAcentral.
GUCCUUAACUGACGCUAAAGCUCGAAAGUGCGGGUAUCGAACAGGAUUAGAUACCCUGGUAGUCCGCACGGUAAACGAUGGAUGCCCGCUGUUGGCGAUAUAAUGUCAGCGGCCAAGUGAAAACGUUAAGCAUCCCACCUGGGGAGUACGCCGGCAACGGUGAAACUCAAAGGAAUUGACGGGGGCCCGCACAAGCGGAGGAACAUGUGGUUUAAUUCGAUGAUACGCGAGGAACCUUACCCGGGCUUGAACUGCAGCCGAACGAUAGAGAGAUCUUGAGGUCCUUCGGGACGGCUGUGGAGGUGCUGCAUGGUUGUCGUCAGCUCGUGCCGUGAGGUGUCGGCUUAAGUGCCAUAACGAGCGCAACCCCUUUCAUUAGUUGCCAUCAGGUUAAGCUGGGCACUCUAGUGACACUGCCACCGUAAGGUGUGAGGAAGGUGGGGAUGACGUCAAAUCAGCACGGCCCUUACGUCCGGGGCUACACACGUGUUACAAUGGGUGGUACAGAGAGUCGGUGCAAUGCAAAUUGUAUCCAAUCAUGAAAGCCAUCCUCAGUUCGGAUUGGGGUCUGCAACCCGACCCCAUGAAGCUGGAUUCGCUA